This 1173-nucleotide long non-coding RNA is filed under the name Monodelphis domestica (gray short-tailed opossum). RNAcentral's name for it is "lncRNA (ENSMODG00000040013.1)". Lineage: Eukaryota; Metazoa; Chordata; Mammalia; Didelphimorphia; Didelphidae. The record is from RNAcentral.
AAUAUGGAUCAAUUCUCUACCCCUUACACUCAUUUUGGCCUGCCAAUUAAAACCAAGAAAACAGAGGUUCUCCACCAACCAACAUUAUACCAAUCCAUACAUGGAAGCAUUGAUGACAGCAAAUGGAGAAAUUUGGAAAACUGUCGAUAAGUUCACUUCCCUUGGCAGUAUGCUUUCCAGGGAUGUACACGGGGAUGACAAGCUUGGAGCAUGCAUUGCGAGAGCAAGCUCAAGAUUUGAGAAGCUCCAAAGGAAAGUGUGGGAGAGAAGAGGUAUCGAUCGGGCUGCCUAUAAAAAUGGAAGUCUACAGAGCCAUGAUGCUGACCUCAUUGUUGCAUAGAGGAUGGUCAUUAAAAAGCAUAGCUGACAAGGUGUACAUAAAGAACUUCCAGUGCAGUGGAGCAGCUCAACCUGCCUGUGAAGGUCCAUUUCAAGUAUUGUUAACAGCUAUCAAAAUUGGAGAAAAGGACUCUUGGAUUCAUUACUCACAGGUAAAACAAGUUCCUUCUAUUGACACUGAUUGACUAUAUCCUGUCACAUGCAUUGGAGAUAAAAGUCCAUAGACAAGUGGACACUGUUUUAGCUGACACUUUGAAUUCCCGAAUCUUUCUCUUUUUUUUGCUUUUCUGUUUAUUUUCAAUAAGGAUAUUUUAUUUUUUCUCUUUCUUCUUUUACUUGAAGUACAUGUAAUCAGUAUUAAUGUUUUUUUUAAUUUUUAAUUAUAAGCUUGCAAUAUCUAUUAGCUAUAAUAUUAAUACAUACCCCAAAAGCUUUAGACUAUGGAAACCUACCAUUGAUUGUUAAAUGUUGUGGGACUUUGAUUAAUAAUUGUGUCUGAUUCCAGAAGAAGGGAUUGCAAAAGAGCCAUUGUACAAUGCCAAGAAGCACAAGGUCAAGAAGACAAACAAUCCUUGUGAGAUUAAUGAAAUCUGUACCAAAAGAGAGGGCUUGUUUGAGGUUCAAGAGAACAGUCCUUUGGCAUAUGUCAGACACAGUUCUUUCCCAUGCCACAUUCUGACAAGUACCUUAGUUUGGCUGUCAUUUUGGUUCCCCUAUACCUGAGAGUGAAGGUAAAAUCAGACCAGGGAAACAUACUUCCCUUUUACAUCAAAAUCUAAUUCCUUUUUUCUCUCUUAUAGUAUGGCAAAUUUCUGUAGUCAUGGCUGACAAUGG